Molecule: long non-coding RNA, 165 nt
Filed under: Leptinotarsa decemlineata (Colorado potato beetle)
Lineage: Eukaryota; Metazoa; Arthropoda; Insecta; Coleoptera; Chrysomelidae
Description: uncharacterized LOC111514377
Source: RNAcentral
UUGUAUUUCACAGGAAUCUCAGAGAACACUCGAAGCACCAAUUACUACAAGGCAAUUACAAACAAGAACUGAUUGAUGGGUACAGAAACUUAGAAUUCAACGGAUCUCAUGGAAGCACCAUUUCAAAAAUGUCAUAACAAUAAAUAAAUAAACAUCGAAGUUGUA